AUGGACAAAUAGUCGAUUGACCAGACGAGUUGACUAUUCUCUUAGAAACAACGAGGCUGAGCUGUUGUCAAAUUUUUUUUACCAUAAACCAAAUAAAACCCCUGAAUUUUUAACUUGGUUUUUAUGUAAAAUGAUAACUUUUUAACGAAAUGAGCGUUUAAAUGCCUUCCUUUGGCGAUAUUUCAACUCGGCCUUGUUUACAACUACUCAGUGUUGCGAAAUGCC
Non-coding RNA from Paramuricea clavata, 225 nucleotides. The record is from the annotation of a GenBank genome assembly. Lineage: Eukaryota; Metazoa; Cnidaria; Anthozoa; Malacalcyonacea; Plexauridae.